AGAGUUUGAUCCUGGCUCAGGAUGAACGCUGGCGGCGUGCUUAACACAUGCAAGUCGAACGGUGAACACGGAGCUUGCUCUGUGGGAUCAGUGGCGAACGGGUGAGUAACACGUGAGCAACCUGCCCCUGACUCUGGGAUAAGCGCUGGAAACGGCGUCUAAUACUGGAUAUGUGACGUGACCGCAUGGUCUGCGUCUGGAAAGAAUUUCGGUUGGGGAUGGGCUCGCGGCCUAUCAGCUUGUUGGUGAGGUAAUGGCUCACCAAGGCUUCGACGGGUAGCUGGUCUGAGAGGACGAUCAGCCACACUGGGACUGAGACACGGCCCAGACUCCUACGGGGGGCAGCAGUGGGGAAUCUUGCNNUGCGCAAUGGGCGAAAGCCUGACGCAGUAACGCCGCGUGGGGGAAGAAGGCCUUCGGGUCGUAAACCCCUUUCAGCAGGGACGAAAUUGACGGUACCUGCAGAAGAAGCGCCGGCCAACUACGUGCCAGCAGCCGCGGUAAUACGUAGGGCGCAAGCGUUGUCCGGAUUCAUUGGGCGUAAAGGGCUCGUAGGCGGUUCGGUAAGUCGGGUGUGAAAACUCAGGGCUCAACUCUGAGAGGCCACUCGAUACUGCCAUGACUAGAGUCCGGUAGAGGAGUGUGGAAUUCCUGGUGUAGCGGUGAAAUGCGCAGAUAUCAGGAGGAACACCGACAGCGAAGGCAGCACUCUGGGCCGGUACUGACGCUGAGGAGCGAAAGCGUGGGGAGCGAACAGGAUUAGAUACCCUGGUAGUCCACGCCGUAAACGAUGAGAACUAGAUGUCGGAAGGGUUACCUCUCGGUGUCGCAGCUAACGCAUUAAGCACUCCGCCUGGGGAGUACGGCCGCA
Molecule: ribosomal RNA, 871 nt
Filed under: Microbacterium maritypicum
Lineage: Bacteria; Bacillati; Actinomycetota; Actinomycetes; Micrococcales; Microbacteriaceae
Description: bacterial SSU rRNA
Rfam family: Bacterial small subunit ribosomal RNA
Source: RNAcentral